GGAAAGUACAGGUGGCUCAUUUAGAAGCAGCCAUAUGUCGUGUGGGUGGCUGCCUGUGAAUGGGCUGCCCUGUACU
This 76-nucleotide microRNA precursor is filed under the name Ovis aries (sheep). RNAcentral describes it as "miRNA (ENSOARG00000021524.1)". Lineage: Eukaryota; Metazoa; Chordata; Mammalia; Artiodactyla; Bovidae. The record is from RNAcentral.